This 252-nucleotide ribosomal RNA is filed under the name uncultured bacterium. RNAcentral's name for it is "partial 16S ribosomal RNA". It matches the Rfam family "Bacterial small subunit ribosomal RNA", at positions 524 to 776 of the family's 1533-position model. The record is from RNAcentral.
UACGGGGGGGCAAGCGUUGUUCGGAAUUACUGGGCGUAAAGGGCUCGUAGGCGGCCAACUAAGUCAAACGUGAAAUCCCUCGGCUCAACCGGGGAACUGCGUGUGAUACUGGCGGGCUUGAAUUCGGGAGAGGGAUGUGGAAUUCCAGGUGUAGCGGUGAAAUGCGUAGAUAUCUGGAGGAACACCGGUGGCGAAGGCGGCAUCCUGGACCGAGAUUGACGCUGAGGCGCGAAAGCUAGGGGAGCAAACGGG